This 884-nucleotide small RNA is filed under the name Pongo abelii (Sumatran orangutan). RNAcentral's name for it is "retained intron". The record is from RNAcentral. Lineage: Eukaryota; Metazoa; Chordata; Mammalia; Primates; Hominidae.
CCAUGGAUCUGCUGUCGCCGCCGCUCUGCACGCUGCCGCCGGGCCCCGAGCCGCCCCGCUUCGUGUGCUACUGCGAAGGGGAGGGAAGCGGGGAGGGGGACCGCGGCGGCUUCAACCUCUAGUGAGUGGGGUGUCCGCGGGGAGGUAGGGGUGCGGGUAGGGUUGCGGGCGGCCCCGCCUGACAGGCCUUCUCCCCCAGCGUGACCGACGCCGCGGAGCUUUGGAGCACCUGCUUCACACCGGACAGCCUGGCGGCCCUCGUGGGUAACUGGGCGGGUCUGGGAGCCGCCACACCCCUCCCUGCAGUCCAGAUCGUCUAUGGGGUGACCGACAUCUGGGAUUCCCCAGAAGGCUCUGACACCCUCUGCCCGCCCUGUAGCUGUAGUCCUCACACUGGCUAGGGGUCCCAAGUGGCUCUGGGGUCGGGCAGGUUUCGGGUGCUCCCAGUGGGCCUCGGGUUCCAGGCAGCUGUUGACAAGCCCCUGUGCUCUCUAGAAAGCCCGUUUUGGCCUGAGUGCGGCUGAGGACAUCACCCCCCGGUUCAGGUGAGACCCAAGCAGGGAGGAAGGGUGGGUGGGGAGGAGGAGGGUCUGCCACAGCUCUCAGCACCUCUCCUUUCCCAGGGCAGCCUGUGAGCAGCAAGCUGUGGCUCUGACCCUGCAUGAGGACAGAGCAUCCCUGACGCUUUCAGGGGGGCCCUCGGCACUGGCCUUUGACCUCUCCAAGGUACCAGGCCCAGAGGCAGCCCCCAGGCUGCAGGCGCUGACACUGGGCCUGGCAAAACGCGUGUGGAGCCUGGAGCGGCGACUGGCAGCUGCAGAAGAGACAGCUGCCAGCCCCAGGAAGAGCCCCCGGCCUGCAGGGCCUCAGCUCUUCUUACCAGG